Molecule: long non-coding RNA, 204 nt
Filed under: Setaria viridis
Lineage: Eukaryota; Viridiplantae; Streptophyta; Magnoliopsida; Poales; Poaceae
Description: long non-coding RNA (SVIR_LNC007914)
Source: RNAcentral
GGGGGAGGUUGAUGGCUUCGAAGGAUUGGCUGAUGUGCUUGCUAGUUUGAGCCUACGGCUUUGAGUGAGGACAAGAUUUAUUUGACGUCCACACACAGAUAGUCUCUGAUUCGGUCACGAUGAGCUUGGAUAAAGCUUUGUCCGCCUGGGUGAGCGGCACAUUGGAGUGAAGGAUCUGGAUGACUUGUUCAAGCUGUUCAUCCA